UUCCAGUUGGCAAAUUCUGCAAGGGGACUAUACUUGACGCCGCAUAUCAAGAUUGCAAAACUAAAAAACAAGCAGCAAACUGCAAAAACAUGCAUACAUAUCUGUCCAUGAUUCGUGUUCCCGCACUCUAAAUUGAUUAGUUGCCGUUGUAUCUGAGCAGCUCCCACAUGUUAAGUUCAGAGAAAACACAAACAAACAGAAUGCCUUCUGACAGUGAACAGAAUUAGACUGACGCUCUCAUAGAGCACAUAAUAAAAUUCAGACAUAGUCCUACUAAGUUCCACAUCCUGUUGACCAGGUGUGGCGCUGGCCGGGGUGCCGCUGGAGAACGAUGGAGAAGACAACCACGCUGCCCCUGACACCCUCUCGUCGGGCAGCAGCACCGGCGCCCAUUUCACCUCACGGCCGACCACGCUAGUCCCCCCCCCCAUGCCGCUGCACGAAAACACACCAAAAUCCCUCUUCUAGACUUGCAAUUCCCUCACGGAAUCGUGAUUCUUCAACAAAUUAUGAAUCCUAUACUGCAGAAAAUGGACAUCCGCAGCUCGAUUUUGCCUCGCGUACACGCAAACGGGGGGAGAUUUGUGUGGGUGGGGUGGAGAGAGCGGAAAAGGGGCCGUAGCUCACCUCAUCAGCGAGGCGCGCAGACUCUGGAGGGGCGCCGCCGAGCAUCUCGCCGCGGGCGUUGACGAGCAUCUCGUCGCCGGCGACUUCCGCCCCGGAAACCUUGGAUGUGACCGCCCCCGUGAUGCGGCUUCCUUCCUUUCCCGUUCUCUCUCUAUGUCUAUGUGCCGCUAGGUGACCUCUAGAAAGAAGUAGAGCCUGGGUCCACA
This 833-nucleotide long non-coding RNA is filed under the name Triticum aestivum (bread wheat). RNAcentral describes it as "long non-coding RNA (TAES_LNC010155)". The record is from RNAcentral. Lineage: Eukaryota; Viridiplantae; Streptophyta; Magnoliopsida; Poales; Poaceae.